This 72-nucleotide transfer RNA is filed under the name Camelus bactrianus (Bactrian camel). It matches the Rfam family "tRNA". From Rfam's summary of the family: Transfer RNA (tRNA) molecules are approximately 80 nucleotides in length. RNAcentral also lists the same sequence under 2 other names. The record is from Rfam by way of RNAcentral. Lineage: Eukaryota; Metazoa; Chordata; Mammalia; Artiodactyla; Camelidae.
GAAGGUAUAGCUUAUUGGUAGUGUGCAUGCUUAGCAUUCAUGGGGUCCUGGGUUCAGUCCCCAGUACCUCCC